RNAcentral lists this transfer RNA (76 nucleotides) under Chryseobacterium luteum. Its description in RNAcentral is "tRNA-Phe". It matches the Rfam family "tRNA". Rfam says of the family: Transfer RNA (tRNA) molecules are approximately 80 nucleotides in length. Their secondary structure includes four short double-helical elements and three loops (D, anti-codon, and T loops). The record is from RNAcentral. Lineage: Bacteria; Pseudomonadati; Bacteroidota; Flavobacteriia; Flavobacteriales; Weeksellaceae.
GGUUUCUUAGCUCAGUUGGUAGAGCAAUGGAUUGAAAAUCCAUGUGUCCCUGGUUCGAUUCCUGGAGAAACCACCU